Long non-coding RNA from Alexandromys fortis (reed vole), 1230 nucleotides. RefSeq lists it as uncharacterized. Lineage: Eukaryota; Metazoa; Chordata; Mammalia; Rodentia; Cricetidae. The record is from RefSeq and is a predicted model, not a curated record. The transcript has 3 exons.
AUGAAGCGACAACAGAAGGGAUACUCUGUACCCUGAAGAAACAGCAUCGCCAAGAAAAUCACAUGCCUCCUUGUUAUGUGUUUUGGCUCCCCAAACAAACUUCCAACUCAUGCCACGGCAACAUGAAACAGGCUGGAAGAGGUGGAGACUCCAGAGACAGCCACUGGCAUCUAGUCUAGGCGGACACGUGGAGGGUGAUGGCAGAAACAAGCGAGGAGCACCGCAAGAGUCGUCUUGCAAAAGCGAGCCAGGCUUGAAGCAAGUGGUCCUGGCUCUGGCUCAGAAGGACUCCUAGUGACUGCUGUCCCUUUGCAAGUGAAGCUGUGGCCACGUGUCUGGGUUCCACAAUGGCACAUGAAGAAAUGGAUGUCUUCCAGUGAGAAGAAGUGAUGUCUGCCACUUUGGGUGACAUUCUUUAAAGGAAUAUUCACACACUACCCUUGCCUCUCCUGUCACUGCCUAAAUACAGAGAAGGACCUUGAACCAGCCAGGGAAGACAGAUGUUCUGCCUGAUCCCAGCCCUGUGCCACCAACACUUAAACAAAACAAAAGGCCAGGUCUACUCAGGUCCCUUGGAGGCCAUCUCUGUAACUAAUAUUGCCUUUAUCCACUGAGGCCUGAUCACUCUGGACAACCACAUGGACUCGCUGCAGCAACUGGAAAUGAAUAUCCCGUCACCACCCAACAGCACUCCCUCUGCCCGGACAGAGGUGCUCCCCCUUCACCCACUCUACCCUGGCCCAGCAGUCAGCUUCCAGAUGACUAGCUCUUUGGGGCUACCUCAGCAGCCAAAGGCUUGCCCUGCCUCAGGUGGCCCACAUCCAGACAGAUUCUUGGGGCUAGACAGACCACUUCACUUGGGCCCUGUGUGGGACAAGGCUGACAGAACAUACAGGCUCUGCGUGGAGUUGGCCAAGGCUCUCACAGGCCUGGGCUGUGUCCCACCUUCCCCUCUGUCCAGUCAUAUUCUCUUCCUCACCGGUGCCUAGAGACCUGAAACGCCAACCUCUGCCUCAGCAUUUGCUUCUAGAGAAUGAGCCCGGGUGGACUGAAUGGGAAGAACGAUCUCACUUUUCUGCCAAAAGGGAAAGCACCUGUCACAUGGCUGACAAUGUUGAAGGUCAGGCCCAACAAAGCCUUUGAAAAGUCACUCACAGCCGCCCUGGCUGAAGUGCUGAACUUUCAGUAGCUGUGAGGAAACAAACAUCCUGGGCAGUGGCAGGCCCGCCC